AACGAACGCUGGCGGCAUGCCUAACACAUGCAAGUCGAACGAGAUCCUUCGGGGUCUAGUGGCGCACGGGUGCGUAACGCGUGGGAAUCUGCCCUUAGGUUCGGAAUAACAGUUAGAAAUGACUGCUAAUACCGGAUGAUGACGUUAAGUCCAAAGAUUUAUCGCCUGAGGAUGAGCCCGCGUAGGAUUAGCUAGUUGGUGUGGUAAAGGCGCACCAAGGCGACGAUCCUUAGCUGGUCUGAGAGGAUGAUCAGCCACACUGGGACUGAGACACGGCCCAGCCUCAGAGGGGAGGAAGCAGGGGGGAUAAUUGAAAAAGGGCCAAAAGCUUGACCAACCAUGGCCGGGUGAUGGUUAAGGGCCUGGGGGUUGAAAACCUUUUUUACCCGGGAUGAUAAGGACGGACCGGGAAAAAAAAGCCCCGGCAAACCCCGUC
This 436-nucleotide ribosomal RNA is filed under the name uncultured bacterium. RNAcentral's name for it is "partial 16S ribosomal RNA". It matches the Rfam family "Bacterial small subunit ribosomal RNA", at positions 29 to 507 of the family's 1533-position model. The record is from RNAcentral.